RNAcentral lists this transfer RNA (92 nucleotides) under Planctomycetota bacterium. RNAcentral's name for it is "tRNA-Ser". It matches the Rfam family "tRNA". From Rfam's summary of the family: Transfer RNA (tRNA) molecules are approximately 80 nucleotides in length. Their secondary structure includes four short double-helical elements and three loops (D, anti-codon, and T loops). RNAcentral also lists the same sequence under 1 other name. The record is from RNAcentral. Lineage: Bacteria; Pseudomonadati; Planctomycetota.
GGAGAGAUGGCAGAGUGGCCGAAUGCGGCAGCUUGCUAAGCUGUUGAGUCGUUUAGACGGCUCCGAGGGUUCAAAUCCCUCUCUCUCCGCCA